Molecule: non-coding RNA, 377 nt
Organism: Paramuricea clavata
Lineage: Eukaryota; Metazoa; Cnidaria; Anthozoa; Malacalcyonacea; Plexauridae
Source: the annotation of a GenBank genome assembly
CGACAACUUGAUAAUUUUAUAAAACAAAACACUUCUAUCUCCAACUUUUACAAUCACUGAUAAAUUGAUAAUAAUUUAAACCAGUCUAGCUGUAGUUUAAAUAGAGAAUAAUACAUGGGUGCACGAAAUACCAGAUUUAUUUCGAGUGUUGAACAUGAGUGCGCAGCGAACAAGUGAGCGCAGCGAACGAGUGAGAUAUCAUGUUCAACACAAAAAAUAAAUCUGGUAUUUCCAACCACCCAUGUAUUUUUCUGUUUAUUAUAUAAAGGACAGUCUUAAAUGAAAACAGAAAAGGGAUAAUUGAAAAGGCGAUAAAUUUUUACAUGUGAGAUUAUCAUGAAUAAUUUCACAUCUGAGAUUAUCAUUUUUGUCAGUGC